AACGCGAAGAACCUUACCUGGGCUUGAACCGCUAAUGACCAACGGUAGAAACAUCGUCUUCUCGCAAGAGACAUUAGUAGAGGUGCUGCAUGGCUGUCGUCAGCUCGUGCCGUGAGGUGUUGGGUUAAGUCCCGCAACGAGCGCAACCCUUACCCUUAGUUGCCACCCGCAAGGGGGAACUCUAAGGGGACUGCUCCGGAUAACGGAGAGGAAGGUGGGGAUGACGUCAAGUCAGCACGGCCUUUAUGUCCAGGGCUACACACGUGUUACAAUGCAUGGUACAAACUGUUGCGAUCCCGCGAGGGGGAGCUAAUCGGAAAAAACCAUGCUCAGUUCGGAUUGCAGUCUGCAACUCGACUGCAUGAAGCCGGAAUCGCUAGUAAUGGCGUAUCAGAACGACGCCGUGAAUACGUUCCCGGGCCUUGUACACACCGAUAGC
This 439-nucleotide ribosomal RNA is filed under the name uncultured bacterium. Its description in RNAcentral is "bacterial SSU rRNA". It matches the Rfam family "Bacterial small subunit ribosomal RNA", at positions 958 to 1397 of the family's 1533-position model. The record is from RNAcentral.